UGGCGGACGGGUGAGUAAUGUCUGGGAAACUGCCUGAUGGAGGGGGAUAACUACUGGAAACGGUAGCUAAUACCGCAUAACGUCGCAAGACCAAAGAGGGGGGACCUUCGGGCCUCUUGCCAUCGGAUGUGCCCAGAUGGGGAUUAGCUAGUAGGUGGGGGUAAAGGGCUCACCUAGGCGACGAUCCCUAGCUGGUCUGAGAGGAUGACCAGCCACACUGGAACUGAGACACGGUCCAGACUCCUACGGGAGGCAGCAUG
This 260-nucleotide ribosomal RNA is filed under the name uncultured bacterium. RNAcentral's name for it is "partial 16S ribosomal RNA". It matches the Rfam family "Bacterial small subunit ribosomal RNA", at positions 96 to 353 of the family's 1533-position model. The record is from RNAcentral.